Molecule: ribosomal RNA, 506 nt
Filed under: uncultured bacterium
Lineage: Bacteria
Description: bacterial SSU rRNA
Rfam family: Bacterial small subunit ribosomal RNA
Source: RNAcentral
ACGAACGCUGGCGGCGUGCCUAAUACAUGCAAGUCGAGCGAACUGAUGAGAAGCUUGCUCUUAAGAUGUAGCGGCGGACGGGUGAGUAACACGUGGGCAACCUGCCCUAUAGUUGGGGAUAACUCCGGGAAACCGGGGCUAAUACCGAAUGAUUCAUUUCAUCUCCUGAUGAAAUGCUGAAAGAUGGUUCUGCUAUCGCUAUAGGAUGGGCCCGCGGCGCAUUAGCUAGUUGGUGAGGUAACGGCUCACCAAGGCGACGAUGCGUAGCCGACCUGAGAGGGUGAUCGGCCACACUGGGACUGAGACACGGCCCAGACUCCUACGGGAGGCAGCAGUAGGGAAUCUUCCACAAUGGGCGAAAGCCUGAUGGAGCAACGCCGCGUGAGUGAAGAAGGUUUUCGGAUCGUAAAACUCUGUUGUAAGGGAAGAACAAGUACAGUAGUAACUGGCUGUACCUUGACGGUACCUUAUUAGAAAGCCACGGCUAACUACGUGCCAGCAGCCGC